Long non-coding RNA from Numida meleagris (helmeted guineafowl), 2952 nucleotides. RefSeq lists it as uncharacterized. The transcript has 3 exons. The record is from RefSeq and is a predicted model, not a curated record. NCBI's taxonomy places the organism in Eukaryota, Metazoa, Chordata, Aves, Galliformes, Numididae.
CUGCCACUGAGGUAGGAUCUUUUUCUGGAGGUCUCUCCUUUGUGGAGUUUUUCCUGUGAGCCUAGACCUUUGGAGGGUGACCUAUUGCUGGUUCUGCUGGAGGAGCUGCAAAGAUCCACAACCCCACUGCCUGCACUGAGGAGAGUAGGGAGACUACAUGUGAGAGUUCUGGCUGAUUUCUGGUGGCAGGGCAUCCCAUCCCUCUCCCACUGCAUUUUCUGCUUCCUCAGUGAAGAAGUUAUGAGCUGGGGAUAGCACUGCAGUGGAAGCAGAGUGAUUCAGAAAAUAUCAAAACACUUCCACAUGCAAGGGAGUUCUCCAGCAAACUGUGUGAGCUUGUUCAAACUUCAGCGUAUUAUCUACCAUGAGCCUGAUGCUCCUCCUCACCUCACAGCAAGUUGCAUCUCCUGUUUGUUCCAUAUAGAUCAGAGCUGGUUCUCCGAAGUGUUACUCAGACAAGGAUUAUGCUAUAUGCAGAUUUAUGUCAACAGCUGAUGUUGGCAGCACAGAUCUCUAGAUGGAGAGUGACAGAUGUACUGUAAAGAGCCUGCACACACAAACUCUCAUCCAACCAUGGUGAAGAUUGAUGUAGCAUCAGAGUGAGCAAUACUUCAGCAUUUCUUUUCUCCUUUCCGGAGACUUCUGUGUGUCUUUUCUUUCCAGUAUGGAUUCAGGGAAUGUCUCUUUCCCUCCUAAUACUGUCUCAAGCUAUGGGUUGAGUUGGAUGUGAGUUAGUUCCUAGAGAGCAGUAGAAGCUGGAACAGAUGAGAGGAUUCCAGCUGCUCCUGCCUACCUCUGGCCAGUGGACAUCUUUGUGCACAUUCCUGCUAAAUAGGCUCCACAGUACUCAGCUCAGCCCUGGCUCUGAUCAGGCUUUGUUUCUCCAAAUACUCUCUGAGCUUCUUUCUAUUCACUCCCAAGCUCCCUCAAGAAAUACUGACUGAUUGCAGUGUUUUUAUAGGAGACAAGAAAUACAUUGCUGUAGAGCCUUCCAGCAAUUUGAUUUAUAGCUGUGCAAGCACUCUGGUAAUUGCAUGUAAUAAGUUAUUGGUCCAGACCACAAUAUCUUGCACUUACAAAUGCUAGAGGGAACUCUUUUUGCUUGUAAAGCUUUUCUGAGCCUUACCCACUCUUCUUAGUUCACUUUUGAUACAUUCUUGAAAGGAUGUUUUGUCACACUUGGUGAACUGUCAUCCAGGGAAGUUCCUCUUAAUGUACUUUGAGCUUGUGUUCUGAGAGAGUAGACUUACGAACAACAUUUUAGAUAUAUUUCAACCUUUCUCUACCGUGCAUAUUCUCACCUGAAAGGCCGGUGAACCUUCCUUGUAAAUUCUUGGACUAAAUUACAGUGUGAAAUAAUGAGAUUCAGUUAAAGAAUUUUGUUUCCUUGUUUUAAACAUCCUAUAAUCACAUUAUGUGAAUUAACACCCUCUUCAUGAUUUGUGCAAAAAAAAAAAAGGAAGCGAUAAUACUUUUAUAUACUUUUCAAUCUUUUUAUUUCUGAGUGGAUUUGUUAUUCAUCUUAGGUACCUGUUUUGGAAAUUGCAUUGCCACACUGAAAGUAUUCUGUCAACUUACCUAUUAUUUUAUAUCACUUUAACCUUUCUAGAUUUACUCAUUUCUAUAUUCUUUCCCAUAUUCUAAUUCUACUUAGCACUGAGCUGAGUAAUUGUAUUUCUUACUCAUAAAAACACAGAUCUUUCCAACCAUUACAGUUAAUUGACAAUCCAAAAACAUAUUUGGUGGUCAGUAUUUCUCCAGAAUUUGUAUUUCUCAACAAUUAAUCCCUCUGAGAUGUUUCCUGCUUAUCUGAGCAGUACUAAGCUUGGAAGAACUGAAUGAGCACUGAAGGAACAAAUGAUUUUGAUGAAAAGGAGGAACAGAGAAAAAAAAAAUACAAUUAAACUCCAUCUGGAAAGGGUUUCAACUGCACAAAUACAUGGAAGGAACAAGAAUAAAGGGAUUUGAACAUUGUUAUAUCAAAAAAGCCAAUCACUUACCAUUGUGUAAGAUGCAAACAUGCAAAUAAGAGCAAAACCUGUAAGAAGAGUGAGCAGUCCUUCUACUGUACUUAGCAGUGACAAGGCUGUAACCAGAGCAGUGUUCAUAUUGCAGAGCUGGUUCAAGCCAGACUGGGGAAACCCAUUUUUUCUUAGCCAAAUGAAGAAAACAGAGCUGAAAAUAGGAAAUAUCUCUUCAAACUCCUAAACAGAUAAGAAUAAUGUCCCCAUUGACUAGCUGAAUAAGCAGGAGUCUAACAUUAAAACAAGGGAGACUCAAAUCAUAUGUUAGGAAAAAAAAGAAUCCCUUCCAGCAGUGAGCACUAAACAGCAUUGGUGGAGAGUCUCUGAAGUAGCUGAAGCCCUAUAAAAAAAAAAUAUCUCUUGUGAAUUUCUUGGUUCAUGACAUAGUUGAGAUUCAUCUUGCCCAAUUUUAUUUGUUUAAAAACAUUCACUCUUUAGUGUGUCAUCUGGGAAGCUUUCACUGUCAGUGAAAACGGACUUUGGGAUAGGAAACAUUUCCUCUGGAAUAAAUGAAGUCUCUGGAACAAAUGAAGUAUCUAGACUAGGUGGGAUGAGGGGCUUUGUUCUUGGCAAAUGCAAAAGGCGUAUGGAGGACCCAUGCUGUUCAGGCUGGAUGCCUGACUGGUUAUUUUAAGAUGUUUGCAAGAUGAAGGAAAUCUGUGAUACUUUAAAAAAGCAUCACAUCCUGCUUGUUCAAAAUGCCUUCAUCUUUAGAAUUUUCAGUGGCGUCUGUUUUCAACGAUUCCAAUGACUGAAUGGAAAAAAAAUGUCUGAGACUAUGCUUUGAACGAGUCAAAGUUCAGUUAAGUUAUUGUUCAUCAACUUAGCAAAGUAUACAAAACUGAGAAGCUUGUGAUUUGUCAAAAUCUUCAGCAUAACACUUUCUCUGAAAGACAUGACUGUAAGACUGGUGUUUCACUAUGUGCUA